CCUACGGGAGGCAGCAGUCGGGAAUAUUGCACAAUGGAGGAAACUCUGACGCAGUGACGCCGCGUAUAGGAAGAAGUUUUUCGGAAUGUAAACUACUGUCGUUAGGGAAGAGAAAGGACGUUACCGAAGGAGGAAGCUCCGGCUAACUACGUGCCAGAAGCCGCGGUAAUACGUAGGGAGCAAGCGUUAUCCGAAAUCAUUGGGUGUAAAGGGUGCGUAGACGGGAGAACAAGUUAGUUGUGAAAUCCCUCGGCUUAACUGAGGAACUGCCACGAAAACUAUUGUGCUUGAGUGCAGGGGAGGGAAGUGGAAUUCCUAGUGUAGCGGUGAAAUGCGUAGAUAUUAGGAGGAACACCAGUGGCGAAGGCGACUUACUGGACUGUAACUGACGUUGAGGCACGAAGGCCAGGGGAGCGAAAGGGAUUAGAUACCCCUGUAGUC
This 441-nucleotide ribosomal RNA is filed under the name uncultured bacterium. RNAcentral describes it as "partial 16S ribosomal RNA". It matches the Rfam family "Bacterial small subunit ribosomal RNA", at positions 338 to 795 of the family's 1533-position model. The record is from RNAcentral.